Molecule: non-coding RNA, 159 nt
Filed under: Zostera marina
Lineage: Eukaryota; Viridiplantae; Streptophyta; Magnoliopsida; Alismatales; Zosteraceae
Description: Eukaryotic large subunit ribosomal RNA
Rfam family: Eukaryotic large subunit ribosomal RNA
Source: Rfam by way of RNAcentral
CCUUGUGACAGCCAAAAGCGUUCAUAGCGACGUUGCUUUUUGAUCCUUCGAUGUCGUCUCUUCCUAUAUCGUACUGUGAAACCGAAUUCACCAAAGUGUUGGAUUGUUCACCCACCAAUAGGGAACGUGAGCUAGGUUUAGACCGUCGUGAGACAGGUU